This 787-nucleotide long non-coding RNA is filed under the name Helianthus annuus (common sunflower). RNAcentral describes it as "hypothetical non coding rna". The record is from RNAcentral. Lineage: Eukaryota; Viridiplantae; Streptophyta; Magnoliopsida; Asterales; Asteraceae.
AUGGAAGAAAUGAUGUGUGGGGGUGUGAGGGUUUAUUGUUGGGUGUUAAUAAUAGUUGAUGACAUGGCGGAACUUGAUUGGAUGUUGUGAGUGAUGAGUGAGUGAUGAGUGAUCACCACCCUCUCCCCCUAAAGGUUACCGUUUAUCAGCAAUAAGAACACUACCCUAAUUAUAAAAAUGUGCAUGUAGUAAAUUUAUAACUAGAAAGUUCAAGUAAUUAGUAAGGCAACAGCCAACAAGAAAGAAGAUUUAUAAAGCUUACUGCUUCAGGAUAAAUACGUUGAGACAUUACGUCGCCACGAUUGAGCAAGCCGUCAACGUUGAGCUCGUUAGAUGGUCUGGGACUGUUUAGGAAAAGCCAUUGACUCGUCUCAACGUUUCUACAGUUGGGACAUCGCAUCUCUCCCUUCGCACUAAAUUCGUGAUGAAUGCAAUCUAUACCAAACACAAUAGAAACACAAGUUACAUUGACAUAAAUGAAGCAUGUAGACAUUUCAAAAUCCCUAGAUCUAUGUUUGGCAUGAAUUCAUUCAUCUAAUUCUUGAAAUGAUCAAAAACUACUAAAAAAGCGUUUUGGGCAAGUAAAUGAUUUUGUUUUUUUAUAGAUGUUUAUCCAGGGGUUUGGCAAUAAGACCAUUACUAUUUUUCCAUUUUGUUAAUCUCUAAACACCUGAAAGAAGGUAAUUAAAUCAUGUUAAAUAUCUUUUUCAAUUGAAUUUUAGUUGCUAAACAAAUCAAAUCCUUAGCGGGUUGUGAUACAAUUAAUAAACAUAAAGAUAAUAAUUAC